AGUUCAAGGCACUUUAUGGUCAAGUUACUAAGGGUUGACGGUGGAUGCCUAGGCGCAGAGGGGCGAUGAAGGACGUGGCAAGCUGCGAAAGGCUUCGGGGAGUGGCAAGCACACGCUGAUCCGGAGAUGUCCGAAUGGGGAAACCUGGCAGGGGUCAUGCCCUGUCACCGCCGCCUGAAUACAUAGGGCGGAGGGAGCUAACCGAGGGAAGUGAACCAUCUCAGUACCUCGAGGAAGAGAAAACAAGAGUGAUUCCGUCAGUAGCGGCGAGCGAACGCGGAACAGCCCAAACCGGAGUGGCUUCGGUCACACCGGGGUUGUGGGGCUCGGCAACACGGAGUUACAAACCGACAGGUUAGUCGAAGUGCCUGGAAAGGCACGCCACAGCGGGUGAUAGCCCCGUAGGCGAAAAUCUGGAGGCUCCUGCCGAGUACCCGAGUACCACGGGGCACGAGAAACCCCGUGGGAAUCUGGGGGGACCAUCCUCCAAGGCUAAAUACUACUCUGCGACCGAUAGUGCACUAGUACCGUGAGGGAAAGGUGAAAAGAACCCCUAUUAGGGGAGUGAAACAGUACCUGAAACCGUCAAUCUACAAGCAGUGGAAGGACCAUGUCGGGUUUCGGCCCGGAAAGUCCGACCACGUGCCUUUUGCAUAAUGAGCCGGCUAGU
This 670-nucleotide ribosomal RNA is filed under the name uncultured Acidobacteriota bacterium. Its description in RNAcentral is "bacterial LSU rRNA". It matches the Rfam family "Bacterial large subunit ribosomal RNA", at positions 1 to 628 of the family's 2925-position model. Lineage: Bacteria; Pseudomonadati; Acidobacteriota. The record is from RNAcentral.